AUUGAACGCUGGCGGCAUGCUUUACACAUGCAAGUCGAACGGCAGCGGGGGCUUCGGCCCGCCGGCGAGUGGCGAACGGGUGAGUAAUGCAUCGGAACGUGCCCAGUCGUGGGGGAUAACACAUCGAAAGAUGUGCUAAUACCGCAUACGUCCUGAGGGAGAAAGCGGGGGAUCUUCGGACCUCGCGCGAUUGGAGCGGCCGAUGUCGGAUUAGCUAGUUGGUGGGGUAAAAGCCCACCAAGGCGACGAUCCGUAGCGGGUCUGAGAGGAUGAUCCGCCACACUGGGACUGAGACACGGCCCAGACUCCUACGGGAGGCAGCAGUGGGGAAUUUUGGACAAUGGGGGCAACCCUGAUCCAGCCAUGCCGCGUGAGUGAAGAAGGCCUCGGUUGUAAGCUCUGUUGUAAGGAAGAACGGUACAUAGAGGGAAGUGCUAUGUAAGUGACGGUACCGUUACCUACGAAAGCCACGGCUAACUACGUGCCAGCAGCCGCGGU
Molecule: ribosomal RNA, 498 nt
Filed under: uncultured bacterium
Lineage: Bacteria
Description: bacterial SSU rRNA
Rfam family: Bacterial small subunit ribosomal RNA
Source: RNAcentral